AUUGAACGCUGGCGGCAGGCCUAACACAUGCAAGUCGAGCGGAGCGGCGGACGGGUGAGUAAUGCCUAGGAAUCUGCCUGGUAGUGGGGGAUAACGUCCGGAAACGGGCGCUAAUACCGCAUACUAUCAGAUGAGACUAGGUCGGAUUAGCUAGUUGGGGGGGUAAAGGCCUACCAGGGCGACGAUCCGUAACUGGUCUGCGAGGAUUAUCAGUCACGCUGGAACUGAGACACGGUCCAGACGCCGACGUGAGGCAGCGGUGGGAAAUAUUGGACAGUGGGCUAAAGGCUUAUCCAGCCAUGCCGCGUGUGUGAAGAAGGUCUUCGGAUUGUAAAGCACGUUAACUUGGGUGGCGUUAGCAACAGAAUAAGCACCGGCUAACUUCGUGCCAGCCGCCGCGGUAAUAC
Molecule: ribosomal RNA, 407 nt
Filed under: uncultured bacterium
Lineage: Bacteria
Description: partial 16S ribosomal RNA
Rfam family: Bacterial small subunit ribosomal RNA
Source: RNAcentral